This 240-nucleotide unclassified non-coding RNA is filed under the name soil metagenome. RNAcentral's name for it is "partial contains 5.8S ribosomal RNA, internal transcribed spacer 2, and large subunit ribosomal RNA". The record is from RNAcentral.
AACCAUAGAAACCUGCGGAGUACCUGCGGAAGGAUCAUUACAGAGUUGCAAAACUCCCUAAACCUUUGUGAACGUUACCUAAACCGUUGCUUCGGCGGGCGGCCCGGGUCCUUCCCGGCGCCCCUCGGCCCUCGCGGGCGCCCGCCGGAGGUAAACCAAACUAUUGCAUUGUAUGGCCUCUCUGAGUCUUCUGUACUGAAUAAGUCAAAACUUUCAACAACGGAUCUCAGAUCGGAAGAG